CUUCUUUUAUUUUGGUUUAACUAUUUCUCUUCUGGUAGCCAUAACAACAUUUACCGUAAUGCAUUUGUUACCUUCUACUCUAGCAUGCACGUAACUUAUGGAAUGUUAUGCUGUUAGCGCAUGCAAAUAGUUCCUUUUUCCCCUUGGCAUGCUUUCUGGUUGAUCAAAGAUAUAUUGUAUGUAGUACCUAGUAAAAGUAUGGUUUUAAAUCAUUUCAUAUACAACUGAAUAGGAAUAAAUUUUCUUUGCCCUCCUCUCUGUUCCUGCCCCUUUUUCCUUUAAGAUCUCUUAAUUGGUGCGAGUUGGGUCGUUUCCAUAAAAUAUGCACGCUCCAGAUAUUAUAUGGUGUGCUUACUUCAAAGAUAUGAUGCUUGCUAUUUUUAUUAUUUUGAAUAUUCAUAUUGGUCAACACUCCAGAGUUGUUUUUAAUGGGCAUGACAGUAUUAGGCCCAUCCUCUUUCACGACCCCCUGGUCCUUUUCUGGUCUUAAGGCUUGUCACCUUUCCAAAUAAACAGGCCCUGUUCUUCUGGUGGUUAUCAUUUCUCCAAGGUUCAUCUCUUAGCUCAGGAUGAAUCACUCUACAAGUACUAUUAUAAUGACCUGUAUUUUGUAGUGAGAGCAAAAAGCAUGAAUUGGUUCAUAUUCAACCUUUUGCAAGAAAUACUCCAUGUUCUCUCUAGGCCUCUAUAUUCCUGAUCUCCGCAGUAAUCUCACUCAGUAAUGGUUUUUCAAUAUCAAUCUCCACACGCAGCUUAGCACUAGUGGCUCUUGUCUUUGAUAGGGUAGCUUUAUCCAUGAUCAAGGGGACUCCUAUAGGUUCUACAAUGCGACAUGUAUCCCAUUCAUAGUAGUGCCAUGGAAGGUCUGGCAGAGUGUUCCAGCCAAGGGUUGUGGUGUUUACGGGUUCAGGUUUAAAAUUUGUAGUCCGUUUUAGAACUUUCAUCGCGUAGUCCCCUCCGAAUGUAAUGAAACUUCUAGAACUCACAUCAAUAUGUUCCUCAUUGUCGAAAUCAAUAAAAACAUGAUACAUAUCAUAAGCCCCAAUAGUAUUGCAGCCUUUUUCCGGAAUGAAAUUAGCAAGUUCGCGUCUGAUAAUGUUGUUAGAGAGUCGAGUCCGAGAAAAUUUACCUACAAUCGUCUACUUACAGCUCUGGGCAAGAGUAUCGUCUUCUUCUUUAGUGAAGACCUCUAUUGGUUUACUGCUCACCAUCUCGAACAGCCUGGAGUAAUCAUACUCUGUUUCUUGCUUUUGUUAAUAGCUUCUUUCUAAUCACAAUGGCAUAAGAGGUUUGUGAAGACUGAAGAGUCCCCUCCAUUUGUCUGCAGAUUGGUAUUGUUUGCGUCUAAAAAGGUAGAUUUGAGAAGUGUUAUUGUACCGUUAUAGAUAUUCGAUGGUUGACUCAGUUGGGGAUCUAGUGGAACACGUGAUGGGAGCUGAGAGAAAUCGAUCUGGUGAGAAUUAGUGGUAGCAUGUGAAAGGAGUAAAGACAUUGGGUCUGGGGGGAUCGGAGGUCGACCUUUGGAAACGUAUUACUGUUGUCAGAACAGUGUUAGGGUUUUAAUUAGGAGAGAAGAGAGUUUUCCGUAGCCUGAUCUACUUUGUUUUUUGGACAUAUAUGUAUAUGUAAAGAGCAUGCUCAUGUUGCAACAAAAUAUGAUAGUUGAACUUUAUUUAUCCACUUUAUUGCACAAUAAAAUAUGAUAAUUUUGAUAAUGCAACACCGAACUAUUAAAACUUUUGCAAAAGCAAAAGAAACAACAACAACAACAACAACAAUUAUUUAACUUAGACAGACAAGCUCACUAGAAAAAAUGACCACUAACCACAUAAUUUGUACAAUAGACAUGGAAUUCACUAGCUAAACUUGUUAAAGUUGCAGCACCCAUGGUUUAUUGGGGACUACUAUAACACAAUCAGUGUAUCCAAUGAGAAGCUCACACGAGUAUUACUUCUAUCGUUAUUCUUGAGUUUCUUUUGCUUCUGUUAUGAAUGGGAGAAGGAGAAUUGUAUGUAUUCUCCAAAUAUUUGGUUGUCUGUUAUCGUUAGAAUUUCACCUUACCUUUUAUUUUUGCGCAUCACUUUAUAUGGAUAUUUUUUUCAUAUUUUUGUUGGGACUGGAAAUUUUUUUGGGACGAGAACUUUCUCUGAGAUUGUUUCGGUAUUUUUGGAUUUCUAAUAAAGUUGGGAAUUUUUGACUUCUUAUGCUGCAACUAUUAGCUGUUCAUUAUUACUAGUCAUAUCUCUCUUGCAUUAUUAGAGUAUGCUAAUUGCCAUAUCUCUUGCACUAUUAGCUUUAAUUGUGUCACAAUGGUGUUACUUAGGAUUGAAUCUCAAUUAAAUAUUUAUGCACUUGUGUGUUCUUUGUAGAGCUUUAUAUUGUUCAUAUUCAUUGUGUUAUUCUGAUUCAAGAUUGGGUUUCUAGGGUUGCCAUUAAGUGGUGAUGGAUAUUUCUGAGGCCAAGGACAUGUCAUAGUGCGUUAAAGUUGCUCUAAACAUUAGACCACUUCUUACUUCUGAGCUUCUCAUUGGAUGCACUGAUUGUGUUACUUUUGAGCUUCUCAUUGGAGAAAAAUGUUGAACUUAAUUAUAUUUUGGUUUGUGAGCUAUGGAUGACUGUUUUCUGUAAAGCACAUAGAGCUUGUUUCCCCUUCACCGCCAGAGGCCGAGACUUCUACGUUUGAUGUUGUUGGUCCAGCAUGCGAGUCUGCAGAUUUCUUGGGAAGGAACGGGAACUUCCUACUCCUCCCAGGGGCACUGGUUUGGUAGUUCAUGAUGCAGGUGCUUACUGCAUGAGUAUGGCAUCAACAUACAAUCUCAAGAUACGCCCACCUGAAUAUUGGGUAGAAGAAGAUGGAUCCAUCUCCAAAUCCGACAUGGAGAGACAUUUGAAGACCAUCUGAGAUUCUUUGAGGGUCUGUAAAACUCAUUUUCAGCCGUUUACACAUCAUUUACAUGAAGGCAGGAUGUGAAUCGUAAUUGUCGGUGUGCUGCAGUCCUGUCUAAGUGAUCUUUGUGAUCUAGAUUCUAUUUAUUUUUUUCCCUUCUCUAGACUUUGUGAUCCAGAUUCUUUUUUCUUUUUUUUCUUUUUUAAUGUGUUCUUCCGGUCACAAAGCAUAACAUGGAAUUUCUACGCCGUGUUUACAUCAAAUUACAUUAGUUUAUUCAUGGUUAAAUAAUAUAGAGGUUAUAUAUAGAGAGAGAGUGUGCAAUCCAUGGUUAAAUGGCAUGAAUGCAUGUAAAAGAAUAUAUGUAACUUGUUUCCAAUUGGUGUAAACAAUGUAUGGGGGCAAGUUCUUUUU
Molecule: non-coding RNA, 3301 nt
Organism: Nicotiana tabacum (common tobacco)
Lineage: Eukaryota; Viridiplantae; Streptophyta; Magnoliopsida; Solanales; Solanaceae
Source: RefSeq, a predicted model, not a curated record